Molecule: ribosomal RNA, 468 nt
Filed under: uncultured bacterium
Lineage: Bacteria
Description: partial 16S ribosomal RNA
Rfam family: Bacterial small subunit ribosomal RNA
Source: RNAcentral
GACGAACGCUGGCGGCGUGCUUAACACAUGCAAGUCGAACGGAAAGGCCCUGCUUUUGUGGGGUGCGCGAGGGGCGAACGGGUGAGUAACACGUGAGUAACCUGCCCUUGACUUUGGGAUAACUUCAGGAAACUGGGGCUAAUACCGGAUAGGAGCUCCUGCUGCAUGGUGGGGGUUGGAAAGUUUCGGCGGUUGGGGAUGGACUCGCGGCUUAUCAGCUUGUUGGUGGGGUAGUGGCUUACCAAGGCUUUGACGGGUAGCCGGCCUGAGAGGGUGACCGGCCCCACUGGGCCUGAGAUGCGGCCCAGCCUCCUCCGGGAGGCAGCAGUGGGGAAUAUUGCACAAUGGGCGGAAGCCUGAUGCAGCACCGCCGCGUGCGGGAUGACGGCCUUCGGGCUGUAAACCGCUUUCGCCUGUGCCGAAGCGUGAGUGACGGUACUGGGUAAAGAAGCACCGGCUAACUCCGUG